GGGCCCGCACAAGCGGUGGAGCAUGUGGUUUAAUUCGAUGCAACGCGAAGAACCUUACCAGGGUUUGACAUCCUGCGAAUCUCUUGGAAACGAGAGAGUGCCUUCGGGAACGCAGUGACAGGUGGUGCAUGGCUGUCGUCAGCUCGUGUCGUGAGAUGUUGGGUUAAGUCCUAUAACGAGCGCAACCCCUAUCGUUAGUUGCCAGCGAGUAAUGUCGGGAACUCUAACGAAACUGCCAGUGCAAACUGUGAGGAAGGUGGGGAUGACGUCAAAUCAUCACGGCCCUUACGUCCUGGGCUACACACGUGCUACAAUGGCCGGUACAGAGAGCAGCCACUUCGCAAGAAGGAGCGAAUCUAUUAAAACCGGUCUCAGUUCGGAUCGGAGUCUGCAACUCGACUCCGUGAAGCUGGAAUC
Molecule: ribosomal RNA, 417 nt
Filed under: uncultured bacterium
Lineage: Bacteria
Description: bacterial SSU rRNA
Rfam family: Bacterial small subunit ribosomal RNA
Source: RNAcentral